GAGUUUGAUCCUGGCUCAGAUUGAACGCUGGCGGCAUGCCUUACACAUGCAAGUCGAACGGCAGCACGGGAGCUUGCUCCUGGUGGCGAGUGGCGAACGGGUGAGUAAUGCAUCGGAACGUAUCCUGGAGUGGGGGAUAACGUAGCGAAAGUUACGCUAAUACCGCAUAUUCUGUGAGCAGGAAAGCGGGGGACCUUCGGGCCUCGCGCUCUUGGAGCGGCCGAUGUCGGAUUAGCUAGUUGGUGAGGUAAAGGCUCACCAAGGCGACGAUCCGUAGCAGGUCUGAGAGGAUGAUCUGCCACACUGGAACUGAGACACGGUCCAGACUCCUACGGAGGCAGCAGUGGGAAUUUGGACAAUGGGGCAACCCUGAUCCAGCCAUGCCGCGUGAGUGAAGAAGGCCUGG
RNAcentral lists this ribosomal RNA (406 nucleotides) under bacterium enrichment culture clone ALO1_GLFRUDD03HAPQ9. Its description in RNAcentral is "bacterial SSU rRNA". It matches the Rfam family "Bacterial small subunit ribosomal RNA", at positions 9 to 419 of the family's 1533-position model. The record is from RNAcentral.